AAAAAGUUUUAUUCUAGCUAAAACUUUCACUUAAUGUUUCCUUUUUAUGUAAGUUUUAGCGUAUAUAAUUUUAAAUAAUUUUAUUUGCAGUUAUUAGUUUUAAAUAUUUAAGUAAUUAAGAUUUAGGAAUAUUUUUUAAUUCUAACUAAAUUUGUGCCAGCAGUUGCGGUUAUACAAAUAGUGUAAGUGAAAUAUUUUAGGUGGUAGUUAAUAUGUAAUUAUUGUAAUUGUUAUUAAAAGUUUAUUAAGUGAAAUUUGAACUUUUAUUUAUAUUUUAUUAUAUGAAGCUAUUAAAUUUUUAUUUAAACUAGGAUUAGAUACCCUAUUAUUUUUAAUGUAAAUUUUAACCCUAGGUUAUUAAUAGUUAAUUUCUUUAAAACAAAAGAUUUUGGCGGUAUUUUAGUCUUUUCAGAGGAACCUGCCCUGUAAUUGAUAGUCCACAAUAAAAAUAACUUUUUUUAUUAAUUUGUAUAUCGUCGUGUUAGAUUAUUUUAAAAGAUUUUAAAUGGUCAAGGUUCUUUAUUAAGAAAUGAAUCAGAUCAAGAUGCAGUUUAUAUAAAAGAAGAGGUGGGUUACAAUAAAUUUAUUUAUGUGGAUUAAAUUUUGAAAAUUUUUUAUUAAAUUGGAUUUGAAUGUAAUUUUAUUUUAUUUUUUAUUUUGAUUAAGCUCUAAAAUAUGCACAUAUCGCCCGUCGCUUUCAUAAAAUUGAAAUAAGUCGUAACAAAGUAGGUGUACUGGAAAGUGUACCUAGAAAGAU
Molecule: non-coding RNA, 757 nt
Filed under: Trachys troglodytiformis
Lineage: Eukaryota; Metazoa; Arthropoda; Insecta; Coleoptera; Buprestidae
Source: RNAcentral